CAAUUUAUACCGUGAAACUGCGAAUGGCUCAUUAAAUCAGUUAUCGUUUAUUUGAUAGUACCUUACUACUUGGAUAACCGUGGUAAUUCUAGAGCUAAUACAUGCUAAAAGCCCCGACUUCGGAAGGGGUGUAUUUAUUAGAUUAAAAACCAAUGCCCUUCGGGGCUCUUUGGUGAUUCAUAAUAACUUAACGAAUCGCAUGGCCUUGUGCCGGCGAUGGUUCAUUCAAAUUUCUGCCCUAUCAACUUUCGAUGGUAGUAUAUGGGACUACCAUGGUUUCAACGGGUAACGGGGAAUUAGGGUUCUAUUCCGGAGAGGGAGCCUGAGAAACGGCUACCACAUCCAAGGAAGGCAGCAGGCGCGCAAAUUACCCAAUCCCGACACGGGGAGGUAGUGACAAUAAAUACUGAUGCAGGGCUCUUUUGGGUCUUGUAAUUGGAAUGAGUACAAUUUAAAUCCCUUAACGAGGAACAAUUGGAGGGCAAGUCUGGUGCCAGCAGCCGCGGUAAUACCAGCUCCAAUAGCGUAUAUUAAAGUUGUUGCAGUUAAAAAGCUCGUAGUUGAACCUUGGGCCUGGCUGGCCGGUCCGCCUCACCGCGUGCACUGGUCCGGCCGGGUCUUUCCUCCUGGGGAGCCGCAUGCCCUUCACUGGGUGUGUCGGGGAACCAGGACUUUUACUUUGAAAAAAUUAGAGUGUUCAAAGCAGGCCUAUGCUCGAAUACAUUAGCAUGGAAUAAUAGAAUAGGACGUGUGGUUCUAUUUUGUUGGUUUCUCGGACCGCCGUAAUGAUUAAUAGGGAUGGUCGGGGGCAUCAGUAUUCAAUUGUCAGAGGUGAAAUUCUUGGAUUUAUUGAAGACUAACUACUGCGAAAGCAUUUGCCAAGGAUGUUUUCAUUAAUCAGGGAACGAAAGUUAGGGGAUCGAAGACGAUCAGAUACCGUCGUAGUCUUAACCAUAAACUAUGCCGACUAGGGAUCGGGCGAUGUUAUUUUUUUUUGACUCGCUCGGCACCUUACGAGAAAUCAAAGUC
RNAcentral lists this ribosomal RNA (1029 nucleotides) under Erysiphe alphitoides. RNAcentral's name for it is "SSU rRNA". It matches the Rfam family "Eukaryotic small subunit ribosomal RNA", at positions 70 to 1105 of the family's 1831-position model. The record is from RNAcentral. Lineage: Eukaryota; Fungi; Ascomycota; Leotiomycetes; Helotiales; Erysiphaceae.